GCUACGGGAGGCAGCAGUAGGGAAUAUUGCUCAAUGGGGGAAACCCUGAAGCAGCAACGCCGCGUGGAGGAUGAAGGUUUUAGGAUUGUAAACUCCUUUUGUUAGAGAAGAUUAUGACGGUAUCUAACGAAUAAGCACCGGCUACUUCCGUGCCAGCAGCCGCGGUAAUACGGAGGAUGCAAGCGUUACUGGGAAUCACUGGGCGUCAAGAGUGUGUAGGCGGGGUAAUAAGUCAGAUGUGAAAUCCUGUGGCUUAAAUACAGAACUGCAUUUGAAACUGUGACUCUAGAGUGUGGGUGGGGUAGGUGGAAUGCUUGGUGUAGGGGUAAAAUCCAUAGAGAUCA
Molecule: ribosomal RNA, 344 nt
Filed under: uncultured bacterium
Lineage: Bacteria
Description: partial 16S ribosomal RNA
Rfam family: Bacterial small subunit ribosomal RNA
Source: RNAcentral